CCCGGGAAACUGGGGAUAAUACUCGAUAGGUGAGGAUGUCUGGAAUGACUUCUCUCCUAAAGGACCUAGAUACAUGCUUCUAUGUCGCCUGGGGAUGGGGCCGCGCCCGAUCAGGUUGUUGGUGAGGUAACGGCUCACCAAGCCUAUAACCGGUACGGGCCGUGAGAGCGGUAGCCCGGAGAUGGGUACUGAGACAAGGACCCAGGCCCUACGGGGCGCAGCAGUCGCGAAAACUCCGCAAUGCACGAAAGUGUGACGGGGCUACCCCGAGUGCCAUCCGCUGAGGAUGGCUUUUCUUUGGUAUAGCUAGCCAUUGGAAUAAGGAGAGGGCAAGACUGGUGUCAGCCGCCGCGGUAAUACCAGCUCUCCGAGUGGUAGGGAUGAUUAUUGGGCUUAAAGCGUCCGUAGCCGGCUUAGCAAGUUUCCUGUUAAACUCAGCGACUCAAUCGUUGGAUCGCGGGAAAUGCUACUAGGCUAGGAGGCGGGAGAGGUCAACGGUACUUCUGGGGUAGGGGUGAAAUCCUAUAAUCCCGGGAGGACCACCAGUGGCGAAGGCUGUUGACUAGAACGCGCUCGACGGUGAGGGACGAAAGCUGGGGUAGCAAACCGGAUUAGAUACCCGGGUAGUCCCAGCUGUAAACGAUGCGAGCUAGGUGUUGGGAUGGCUACGUGCCAUUUCAGUGCCGCAGGGAAGCCAUUAAGCUCGCCGCCUGGGGAGUACGGCCGCAAGGCUGAAACUUAAAGGAAUUGG
RNAcentral lists this ribosomal RNA (751 nucleotides) under uncultured crenarchaeote. Its description in RNAcentral is "bacterial SSU rRNA". It matches the Rfam family "Archaeal small subunit ribosomal RNA", at positions 131 to 868 of the family's 1478-position model. Lineage: Archaea; Thermoproteati; Thermoproteota. The record is from RNAcentral.